This 504-nucleotide ribosomal RNA is filed under the name uncultured bacterium. Its description in RNAcentral is "bacterial SSU rRNA". It matches the Rfam family "Bacterial small subunit ribosomal RNA", at positions 19 to 518 of the family's 1533-position model. The record is from RNAcentral.
CUGGCUCAGGAUGAACGCUAGCGGCAGGCUUAACACAUGCAAGUCGAGGGGCAUCGGGAGUAGCAAUACUGCCGGCGACCGGCGCAAGGGUGCGUAACGCGUGAGCAACAUGCCCGUAUCAGGGGGAUAAUCCAUGGAAACGUGGUCUAAUACCCCAUAGUAAUUAUGUAAGGCAUCUUAUAUAAUUUAAAGCUUUGGUGGAUACGGAUUGGCUCGCGUGACAUUAGCUGGAUGGUAAGGUAACGGCUUACCAUGGCUACGAUGUCUAGGGGUUCUGAGAGGAAGGUCCCCCACACUGGAACUGAGACACGGUCCAGACUCCUACGGGAGGCAGCAGUGAGGAAUAUUGGACAAUGGAUGGAAAUCUGAUCCAGCCAUGCCGCGUGCCAGGAAGACGGCCCUAUGGGUUGUAAACUGCUUUUGUAUGGGAGCAAUAAGGGCUACGUGUAGUCCGAUGAGAGUACCAUACGAAUAAGCACCGGCUAACUCCGUGCCAGCCGCCGC